GCGAAAGUGGUGGAAUGGCAGACACGCCAGACUUAGGAUCUGGUGCCGCAAGGCGUGGGGGUUCAAGUCCCCCCUUUCGCA
RNAcentral lists this transfer RNA (81 nucleotides) under Spirochaetaceae bacterium. RNAcentral describes it as "tRNA-Leu". It matches the Rfam family "tRNA". Rfam says of the family: Transfer RNA (tRNA) molecules are approximately 80 nucleotides in length. Their secondary structure includes four short double-helical elements and three loops (D, anti-codon, and T loops). Further hydrogen bonds mediate the characteristic L-shaped molecular structure. tRNAs have two regions of fundamental functional importance: the anti-codon, which is responsible for specific mRNA codon recognition, and the 3' end, to which the tRNAs corresponding amino acid is attached (by aminoacyl-tRNA synthetases). tRNAs cope with the degeneracy of the genetic code in two manners: having more than one tRNA (with a specific anti-codon) for a particular amino acid; and 'wobble' base-pairing, i.e. permitting non-standard base-pairing at the 3rd anti-codon position. Lineage: Bacteria; Pseudomonadati; Spirochaetota; Spirochaetia; Spirochaetales; Spirochaetaceae. The record is from RNAcentral.